AUGAAUCUUCUAGCAUGGAACUGUCGAGGAUUGGGGUUGGACUUGACAGUGGCCGAACUCCGUGACCUGAUACGGUCCUACAACCCAGCGGUGGUGUUCUUGUGUGAAACAAAGAAAAAGGCUCAAGUGAUGGAGAGAACAAAGUGGAGCUUAGGCUUCCGAAAUGGUGUGGCGGUUCAUUGUGUAGGGCGGAGUGGAGGUCUAGCUAUUUGGUGGCGUGAUCACAUCCAAGUCACGGUCCGCCCAUGGUGCCAGUACUUUCUUGAUAUGGAGGUAGUCGUUGACGGGGAAACCUGUAGGAUCACUGGAUUCUAUGGCGAACCCAACACUGAACAUAGGAAGAAAUCAUGUGGUAUUUGA
RNAcentral lists this ribosomal RNA (360 nucleotides) under Triticum aestivum (bread wheat). RNAcentral describes it as "partial small subunit ribosomal RNA". The record is from RNAcentral. Lineage: Eukaryota; Viridiplantae; Streptophyta; Magnoliopsida; Poales; Poaceae.